GAUUAACGCUAGCGGCAGGCCUAAUACAUGCAAGUUGUACGGGAUUAUUGGUAGCAAUACUGAUAUGAGAGUAGCGCACGGGUGCGUAACACGUAUGCAACCUACCUUUAACUGGGGAAUAGCUCACCGAAAGGUGAAUUAACACCGCAUAAAAUCACAGAAGGACAUCCUUUAAUGAUUAAAUCUCCGGAGGUUAAAGAUGGGCAUGCGUCCGAUUAGCUAGUUGGCGGGGAACAGCCCACCAAGGCAACGAUCGGUAGGGGUCUGAGAGGAUGAUCCCCANACUGGUACUGAGACACGGACCAGACUCCUACGGGAGGCAGCAGUAAGGAAUAUUGGACAAUGGGGGCAACCCUGAUCCAGCCAUGCCGCGUGAAGGAUGAAGGCCCUA
Molecule: ribosomal RNA, 391 nt
Filed under: uncultured bacterium
Lineage: Bacteria
Description: bacterial SSU rRNA
Rfam family: Bacterial small subunit ribosomal RNA
Source: RNAcentral